This 253-nucleotide ribosomal RNA is filed under the name uncultured bacterium. Its description in RNAcentral is "partial 16S ribosomal RNA". It matches the Rfam family "Bacterial small subunit ribosomal RNA", at positions 524 to 776 of the family's 1533-position model. The record is from RNAcentral.
UACGUAGGGUGCGAGCGUUGUCCGGAAUUAUUGGGCGUAAAGAGCUUGUAGGCGGUCUGUCGCGUCUGCUGUGAAAAUCCGGGGCUCAACCCCGGACUUGCAGUGGGUACGGGCAGACUAGAGUGUGGUAGGGGAGACUGGAAUUCCUGGUGUAGCGGUGAAAUGCGCAGAUAUCAGGAGGAACACCGAUGGCGAAGGCAGGUCUCUGGGCCACUACUGACGCUGAGAAGCGAAAGCAUGGGGAGCGAACAAG